RNAcentral lists this long non-coding RNA (787 nucleotides) under Homo sapiens (human). Its description in RNAcentral is "HSALNT0082683". Lineage: Eukaryota; Metazoa; Chordata; Mammalia; Primates; Hominidae. The record is from RNAcentral.
AUUUCAUACUUAAAACAAUAUUCUAUGCAAAAUGCUAUAAUUUCCCCUUGCCUCCAAUUUACACAUGAUAAAACUGAGCCUAGUAAAAUUAAGUAUCAUGCCCCAAAGUUCUCUGCUUAGUAAGAAGUAGAGGCAAGCCCAAACCUAAGUCAUCUGAUUUCAGAGCCCAUACAGUUAAAUGCUCUAAAUGCAGCUUCCCGUGAUGAUGGUGACUAUGAGAGCCUGUCACAUAUGAUGUAGGACAGUGCUUCCCUGUAACAUGCACAAGAUUCCUGUGAUGAUGGUGACUAUGAGAGCCUGUCACAUGAUGUAGGACAGUGCUUCCCUGUAACAUGUGCAAGAUUCCCGUGAUGAUGGUGACUAUGAGAGCCUGUCACAUAUGAUGUAGGACAGUGCUUCCCUGUAACAUGUGCAAGAUUCCCAUGAUGAUGGUGACUAUGAGAGCCUGUCACAUAGGAUGUAGGACAGUGCUUCCCUGUAACAUGCACAAGAUUCACCCAGGGAUCUCUUUAAAAUGCAAAACCAUAGACCACACUUUGACUGGCUUGGAUAAGGGGUCAGAGCAUCGAAAUGAGUGUGUAGGUGACUGUGCUAAAAUUCUCCUGCUCAUGUGGGCACUGGCUCAUGAUAUUAACAAAGCUUAGGACCUCUAGUCCUUUCUGGAAAGAAAAUACACAUACAUAGCAUGUGACUGUGCAUAUGGAAUAUCUGUUGUGUUCUGGACAUUGUGCUGGACAACAGAGAUAAGAAGUCAAAUAUCCCUUGUCUCUAUCUGAAAGGAGCUUCC